Molecule: long non-coding RNA, 2406 nt
Filed under: Triticum aestivum (bread wheat)
Lineage: Eukaryota; Viridiplantae; Streptophyta; Magnoliopsida; Poales; Poaceae
Description: long non-coding RNA (TAES_LNC002995)
Source: RNAcentral
ACAAGAACACAAAUGAACUUAAAACAAAAAUAUAAAUGGUGACCAGCUCGGUGGCGUACUGCAGCAUGCAGGAGCAGCAACCAUAGUCAGCUCGUCGAGGCCGCCAAUACGCAGGAGAGCAUGGUGAGGGCAACAAUAGAGGGGAAGCACCAUGGGGGUUGAGCCACAACUGUGGUUGAUGGCAAGCCGACAUGACACGACGAGCAGCUUGAGGACGAGUGGGUGGUGCACAACAUGUCACUUAAGAUGCGCCUGUUGGACUGAUUUCCUUCUUCCAUCUGGACGGAUCAAUUGCAGAACUUGCUAUUAGAAACAGUAAAGAUAAAAAAUAGUCGUGUGCUCAAACUUUGAAGUAAGAUAUGAUUUCAUGUCCUUAUCCAUUAAUAAAAUCAUACUAUGUACAUUUGUAGAAUACUUGCUCUCAGUACUAGUCAUCCUACUUAGUUAUCAAAAACAGUUGUGAAUGUUGCAUCCAUUUUUCUCAAGAAAAUGUAACAUAUAAGUUUUAUACAGACAGAAAUAUGCACCCUCAAGAAAAUGUAACAUAUAAGUUUUAUACAAACAGAAAUAUGCACCAAAAGAUAUACCCAAAAUUCUAGUUUUACAACAUUGGAAGAAACAAAUAAUUUGAUGCCAACAUAAGUGAGCACUAAAAGAUGCAAAGAAGAGCCUUUUUUGAGAAUUUGACUUUGGUACAUGUUUUGCUCUACAAAUUGAUAAACCAAGAGACAGUACAGAUGAUCAUUUCUCAUGCUUAAUCACAAGCACACGUUUGUUCUAUGGGAAGCUGGAAACAUAAAAUGGAAAUUGGACUUACGAUGAGGAAGUAGAUGUACUAAAAAGCAUAUGAAAGAUGAACUGAAAAAGUUGAAGCUCCAUAUCCUCAUGACGAACUGGACCAUACUGGAGUUGUGAAUGGUGGUGAAGCUUCACAUCCUUCAUCGUCAACGAGCUCCUGCCAUGAGCGAAAAUCACAAACUUCAAACAAUUUAUAAAGAAUACAGUUCUUGAAAUUGGGUCGAGCUUAAACUGUUCAGAUUUUUGAACUCCUGCAGCAGCUAUACUUGAACUUGCGCGACACAUUUUUGAAAGCAUCUGAUGUUCAGAAUAUGUUAUAUGAAAAGAGGAAGGGGUAACACACUAAGAGACAUAGGCAAAAGAGAGAAAAUCAUGAUGUAUUAGCUAGGUGGUUGAACUGGCCACACCGCUGCACCAUGUCGCCCAGCUCCUUCUCAAUGGUCUGCUUCUUGUGAUCGCCGACGAGCACCCUGGGCUUCACCAUGAACCUGGUUAAAAGAUAUAUGGGACUGGAACCUGUAGAUUUAAAUGAACUCUCACUAGAAGUAAUUUUUGUACUUCCCAUGUAGUACUACUUGUACUUGUUGUAAAAUACAUGGACCAUGUAAUAAUUUUGAAGUUAAUUAUAUGAUCAUCUCAUGUGGCUCAAGUUGGACUGGAACUCACUCGAUAACUAAACAACUAGGGUGAGGGGUGGGAUCCAGGGUGUUGCUGGCAAUGAAUGGCCAGGGGAGGUGGCAUUGAACGGCCUAGAGUGGUGGCUGUGAACGGCCAGGGUGCUCCGGCAGCAGAGCCCCACCGGGAGAUGGCGAUGCAAUUAAACUGCUGUGCAAUCAAAAUUACAGUUGUAAGCUAGCAAGGAUAUUGUAGUUUUUUGUUUUGCACUAUGGUCAUGGAGUCAAAUCAGAUCAAACAUGCGAGGCAUAUAAAAUUUGUUGUUUGAUGUUACCAUGAGCAGUGGUUACAUAGUAAAUUCAAAGAACAACAAAACAUGGCAGCAACAUCGUAGAAUUCAUUUGGAAGCAACCGCUAUAUAUACGUGAUUCCAAAAAUGUUCCCCAACCUGUACUGAGCAGCUUCAGAGCCUGUACUGACAAUGAACUGAUUUGUUAUGUUUUAGCACAUAGAUUGUACUGUUCAUUACGGACUAUUGAUAUAAAUACAUAUUGAACUUCUACACUAAAAGAAAAAUCACUAAUAAAUAACACUUCUCUUGAGCAAUCAAAUAAGUUUCACUAAAAGAAAAUUCACUAAGAAAAUGGCUAUAUCUCUGAUGCAAACUUAAUUUGAGCAGAAAUGUUCAUCUUUUGACACAUCGAAACCACUAGCUACAGUUUUUUGCUUCCAAUCAUUGAACUGAGAAUAAUUAUGAGAAUUUUUUGCUCCCAACCUCCUGCAUAUAUAUUCUCGAACUGAUUUUUUGUCACUUGAACAGAGCAAAGAAAGCAGUAAUUAAGGAAUUCUUAGCCAGACUAGGCACCCCACAAAUCCCACACAACAAAGCAUGUUAUAUGUAUUUCUGCUGCCUAAAUGUGUAUAUAAUUUCAAAUUUUCCAAGCACAUACCUUCUGUUCUUGUUUGUUGAUGGGCAUGCCGCCCCUACUUCUA